RNAcentral lists this ribosomal RNA (489 nucleotides) under uncultured bacterium. RNAcentral describes it as "partial 16S ribosomal RNA". It matches the Rfam family "Bacterial small subunit ribosomal RNA", at positions 28 to 507 of the family's 1533-position model. The record is from RNAcentral.
GAUGAACGCUAGCGGCAGGCUUAAUACAUGCAAGUCGAGGGGCAGCAGGACUGUAGCAAUACAGUUGCUGGCGACCGGCAAACGGGUGCGGAACACGUACGCAACCUACCCAAAACUGGGGGAUAGCCCGGGGAAACCCGGAUUAAUACCUCGUAACCUUUUUAAGUGGCAUCACUUGAUAAGUAUAGCUCCGUCGGUUUUGGAUGGGCGUGCGCCUGAUUAGGUAGUUGGUGCGGGUAACGGCCCACCAAGCCUGCGAUCAGUAACUGGUGUGAGAGCACGACCAAUCACACGGGCACUGAGACACGGGCCCGACUCCUACGGGAGGCAGCAGUAAGGAAUAGUGGUCAAUGGACGCAAGUCUGAACCAGCCAUGCCGCGUGAAGGAUGAAGGUCCUCUGGAUUGUAAACUUCUUUUAUGGGGGACGAAACCCGGAUAUUCUUAUCCGAUUGACGGUACCUCAGGAAUAAGCACCGGCUAACUCCGUG